This 22-nucleotide microRNA is filed under the name Monodelphis domestica (gray short-tailed opossum). RNAcentral's name for it is "mdo-miR-7376-3p". Lineage: Eukaryota; Metazoa; Chordata; Mammalia; Didelphimorphia; Didelphidae. The record is from miRBase by way of RNAcentral.
UAGCUCGCCCCACCACGAUACU